GGUUCAAGUCCCUCUAUCCCCAAAAAGUCCAUUUUAC
This 37-nucleotide transfer RNA is filed under the name Dioscorea nipponica. RNAcentral describes it as "partial tRNA-Leu". The record is from RNAcentral. Lineage: Eukaryota; Viridiplantae; Streptophyta; Magnoliopsida; Dioscoreales; Dioscoreaceae. RNAcentral also lists the same sequence under 2 other names.